AGUGAACGCUGGCGGUAGGCCUAACACAUGCAAGUCGAACGGCAGCACAGUAAGAGCUUGCUCUUACGGGUGGCGAGUGGCGGACGGGUGAGGAAUACAUCGGAAUCUACUUUUUCGUGGGGGACAACGUAGGGAAACUUACGCUAAUACCGCAUACGACCUACGGGUGAAAGCAGGGGAUCUUCGGACCUUGCGCGAUUGAUUGAGCCGAUGUCGGAUUAGCUAGUUGGCGGGGUAAAGGCCCACCAAGGCGACGAUCCGUAGCUGGUCUGAGAGGAUGAUCAGCCACACUGGAACUGAGACACGGUCCAGACUCCUACGGGAGGCAGCAGUGGGGAAUAUUGGACAAUGGGCGCAAGCCUGAUCCAGCCAUACCGCGUGGGUGAAGAAGGCCUUCGGGUUGUAAAGCCCUUUUGUUGGGAAAGAAAAGCAGCAGGUUAAUACCCCGCUGUUCUGACGGUACCCAAAGAAUAAGCACCGGCUAACUUCGUG
RNAcentral lists this ribosomal RNA (492 nucleotides) under uncultured bacterium. RNAcentral describes it as "partial 16S ribosomal RNA". It matches the Rfam family "Bacterial small subunit ribosomal RNA", at positions 29 to 507 of the family's 1533-position model. The record is from RNAcentral.